UACGUAGGGGGCAAGCGUUAUCCGGAUUUACUGGGUGUAAAGGGAGCGUAGACGGCUAAUCAAGUCAGAAGUGAAAACCCAGGGCUCAACCUUGGGACUGCUUUUGAAACUGAGUAGCUAGAGUGCAGGAGAGGUAAGCGGAAUUCCUAGUGUAGCGGUGAAAUGCUUAGAUAUCACGAAGAACCCCGAUUGCGAAGGCAGCCUGCCGCAGCGUUACUGACGCUGAAGCUCGAAAGCGCGGGUAUCGAACAGG
RNAcentral lists this ribosomal RNA (253 nucleotides) under uncultured Lachnospiraceae bacterium. Its description in RNAcentral is "partial 16S ribosomal RNA". It matches the Rfam family "Bacterial small subunit ribosomal RNA", at positions 524 to 776 of the family's 1533-position model. The record is from RNAcentral. Lineage: Bacteria; Bacillati; Bacillota; Clostridia; Lachnospirales; Lachnospiraceae.